This 238-nucleotide ribosomal RNA is filed under the name uncultured bacterium. Its description in RNAcentral is "partial 16S ribosomal RNA". It matches the Rfam family "Bacterial small subunit ribosomal RNA", at positions 122 to 354 of the family's 1533-position model. The record is from RNAcentral.
UAACCUGCCCAAGAGACUGGGAUAACACCUGGAAACAGAUGCUAAUACCGGAUAACAACACUAGACGCAUGUCUAGAGUUUAAAAGAUGGUUCUGCUAUCACUCUUGGAUGGACCUGCGGUGCAUUAGCUAGUUGGUAUGGUAACGGCUUACCAAGGCAAUGAUGCAUAGCCGAGUUGAGAGACUGAUCGGCCACAUUGGGACUGAGACACGGCCCAAACUCCUACGGAAGGCAGCAG